Molecule: ribosomal RNA, 326 nt
Filed under: uncultured eukaryote
Lineage: Eukaryota
Description: partial 18S ribosomal RNA
Rfam family: Eukaryotic small subunit ribosomal RNA
Source: RNAcentral
CCCUUAGAUGUUCUGGGCUGCACGCGCGCUACACUGCUGCAAUUAACGGGUUUUAUGUGCCGAAAGGCUUGGGGAAUCCUUUGAAUAUGCGGCGUGAUGGGGAUAGAAUGUUGUAAUUAUUACUCUUCAACGAGGAAUUCCUAGUAAGCGCGAGUCAUCAGCUCGCGUCGAUUACGUCCCUGCCCUUUGUACACACCGCCCGUCGCUACUACCGAUUGAGCAUUAGGGUGAAAUCUUCGGACCGUGGCAUACUUCUGGCUUAGCCAGUCUUUGUCCGUGGGAGGUCGCUUAAAUCCUGAUGCUUAGAGGAAGUAAAAGUCGUAACA